UACGAAGGGUGCAAGCGUUAAUCGGAAUUACUGGGCGUAAAGCGCGCGUAGGCGGUUUAGUAAGUGUGAUGUGAAAGCCCCGGGCUCAACCUGGGAACUGCAUCCCAUACUGCUAGGCUAGAGUACGGUAGAGGGGGGUAGAAUUCCACGUGUAGCGGUGAAAUGCGUAGAGAUGUGGAGGAAUACCAGUGGCGAAGGCGGCCCCCUGGAUCGAUACUGACGCUGAGGUGCGAAAGCGUGGGGAGCAAACAGG
Molecule: ribosomal RNA, 253 nt
Filed under: uncultured bacterium
Lineage: Bacteria
Description: partial 16S ribosomal RNA
Rfam family: Bacterial small subunit ribosomal RNA
Source: RNAcentral